GCAUCGGUGGUUCAGUGGUAGAAUUCUUGCCUGCCACGCGGGUGACCCGGGUUCGAUUCCCGGCCGAUGCA
This 71-nucleotide transfer RNA is filed under the name Strongylocentrotus purpuratus (purple sea urchin). RNAcentral's name for it is "tRNA-Gly". It matches the Rfam family "tRNA". Rfam says of the family: Transfer RNA (tRNA) molecules are approximately 80 nucleotides in length. Their secondary structure includes four short double-helical elements and three loops (D, anti-codon, and T loops). Further hydrogen bonds mediate the characteristic L-shaped molecular structure. tRNAs have two regions of fundamental functional importance: the anti-codon, which is responsible for specific mRNA codon recognition, and the 3' end, to which the tRNAs corresponding amino acid is attached (by aminoacyl-tRNA synthetases). tRNAs cope with the degeneracy of the genetic code in two manners: having more than one tRNA (with a specific anti-codon) for a particular amino acid; and 'wobble' base-pairing, i.e. permitting non-standard base-pairing at the 3rd anti-codon position. The record is from Rfam by way of RNAcentral. Lineage: Eukaryota; Metazoa; Echinodermata; Echinoidea; Camarodonta; Strongylocentrotidae.